AACGUAGGAGGCAAGCGUUAUCCGGAGUUACUGGGCGUAAAGAGCGUGUAGGCGGCAGGGUAAGUGGCUUGUGAAAGCGCCCGGCUAAACUGGGCGAGGACAGGUCAGACUGCACCGCUAGAGGACGCUAGAGGGGUGCGGAAUUCCGGGCGUCGCGGUGAAAUGUGUAGAGAUCCGGAGGAACACCAGUGGUGCAGACGGCGCCCUGGGUCGUACCUGACGCUGAGACGCGAAAGCGUGGGGAGCCAACGGG
This 253-nucleotide ribosomal RNA is filed under the name uncultured bacterium. Its description in RNAcentral is "partial 16S ribosomal RNA". It matches the Rfam family "Bacterial small subunit ribosomal RNA", at positions 524 to 776 of the family's 1533-position model. The record is from RNAcentral.